GAUGAACGCUGGCGGCGUGCCUAAUACAUGCAAGUCGAGCGAACAGACGAGGAGCUUGCUCCUCUGACGUUAGCGGCGGACGGGUGAGUAACACGUGGAUAACCUACCUAUAGGACUGGGAUAACUUCGGGAAACCGGAGCUAAUACCGGAUAAUAUAUUGAACCGCAUGGUUCAAUAGUGAAAGACGGUUUUGCUGUCACUUAUAGAUGGAUCCGCGCCGCAUUAGCUAGUUGGUAAGGUAACGGCUUACCAAGGCGACGAUGCGUAGCCGACCUGAGAGGGUGAUCGGCCACACUGGAACUGAGACACGGUCCAGACUCCUACGGGAGGCAGCAGUAGGGAAUCUUCCGCAAUGGGCGAAAGCUUGACGGAGCAACGCCGCGUGAGUGAUGAAGGUCUUCGGAUCGUAAAACUCUGUUAUUAGGGAAGAACAAAUGUGUAAGUAACUAUGCACGUCUUGACGGUACCUAAUCAGAAAGCCACGGCUAACUACGUG
Molecule: ribosomal RNA, 497 nt
Filed under: uncultured bacterium
Lineage: Bacteria
Description: partial 16S ribosomal RNA
Rfam family: Bacterial small subunit ribosomal RNA
Source: RNAcentral